Non-coding RNA from Phoenix dactylifera (date palm), 3734 nucleotides. The record is from RefSeq and is a predicted model, not a curated record. NCBI's taxonomy places the organism in Eukaryota, Viridiplantae, Streptophyta, Magnoliopsida, Arecales, Arecaceae.
AGCGGUGGGCCCAAUGGAGGGAACCUCAUGAGGGAACAAAGAAGAAGAAGAAGAAGAAGAAGAAGAAGAAGGUUUCUUUUUUUCCUCUUAAGUCUCUCAAUCAAGUUUGGCUGCGGAAUGAUUCCCAGGAGGACUGAGUUCUUGAGAAGAAUUCCAGUUUCCAGUUGUUCGUUAUUUGGUUAUCCGAAGCAAAGGUUUUUUGCCCACAGAAGUUCUGAUGAAGAGCAAAAACUGUGAGCACUUCAUCCAUGCCGGUCCGUUGGGCGAUAAGGGUUUUAGGAAUUCGAAGGCAAUGGAGGAGAGAGGCAGAGCCACUAUAUUUUUCAGGCUGAGGUUAUUAGUAGACAUGUGAACAUGAUUUCUCCUUCAUAACCAAGUAUCCACUGGUUUAUCCUUAAUUCCAGCCCCGAGCUCCAAAUGGAAGGUAAAUUAUUGGAAAAAGUUACUUGAUUCUAGUGAGGUGUGGCGUUCACUAUUUUUGUAAAUUUUCAGAGUGGAUGCUAUGGCAUAAGAUAUGUGAAAAUGAUUUAAAGAGAUAGAAACAUAAAAAAUAAGUGUUUGAGAAAAUGUUUAUAAAGGAUAAUAAAAGAUCAAUUAGGACAGAGUAGUGCUCCAAGUCUUUCAAAGUUUGACAAUUGGUAGAAAAUAAAGAGAUAAUAACAAAAAAUAGUUUCCUAAGUAUGGUAGGACUUUAACUUGUUUAACAAUUGUUUCAAGAAGAAAGAAAUAUGAAAAGUUGACUAAAAAAUACAAGAAAAAUCUUUUUCAAAAUGACAUAUUGUAAAAAAAUGGAAUUUUAUCAGCAAUGAUAGGCUUUCAUUAAAUCAGCCAUAUCUUCCUCAUCUAACCUUCAUUUUUGUUAAUUCAAGAUGUUUUGGAGAUAACUUGAUGCUAGACAUAUUGAAUGUGGUUUCAUUGAAAAAAUAUACCUUAGCUAAUAUCGAUGAGGCUUCCUUUGUCUUAUAUCUACCUCUUUUGACUAUGGCUUGACAUAAAUUUUAAAUUUUUAAGUCGAUUGGACACUUGCAAGUCAAAUGUCACCUUAUAUCAUUUCAUAAGGUCACCUUAAAUUUCGAAGCAUGUUCAUCCCACUAGUUCCUCUCGGCACAAAUGUCAAAGUGUUGGCCUUCAUGCUUCUUCAAACAUGGAAUUCAAUAUAGGCAUUCAAACCCUUCUUGGCAUUGAUGUUGCAUAUAGUUUGGUCAUGUGGUUAGUAGGAGGUCAGUUGCUUGCAUCAAAGUCAACAUCCUACGGAAGAGAUCUUAUGAAUAGAACCUCAAACAAUUUUAUCAAUCAACUUUCUAUGUCCAAUAAUGUGAUGUACUGAGAGUAUAUAUAGGUUCCAAGGUCCCUUUAUCAAGGACUCAUGGGAUCCCCUGAAUUUUGACCAAAUGUUGAAAUACCAUACAAGCCUAUUGGCUCAUAUCUAGUCACUUCAGGCAUUCCAACAAUGGAUUUCAGAGUUACAGGCUUCUAACAGCUGAAUAUAGUUGUCUAAAGAUAUUGUUAUUAUAGGCUUCUAAAAAUUGAUACUGGUGUCGUAACAACAUUAUGACAUAUAAAAUCUGGCCACAGAAUCAUUCUAAAGGUUGGAUUCCAGCCAUCAGAAUUAGUAUCUUUGACAAAGUUGAACAACUUUCUUUUUUAGCCAUAACCGCCUUGUCCAAACUCUUAUUGCAACUAUGAACAAUAUGUUCUAAAUGUAACUCAAUGUUGGAAUAAAAUUGGUUUGAUAUUUAAACUCCAAAAUGUCCUAAUCCUAGUGAAGCUAUCAUUUGACUCUUGUAUGUUAUAAUCUUUUAAAGGAAACUAGAUAAUGACACAUUCUCUUAUGCACCCAAACUCCAAUAACUAUGUCUGUUCUUGGACUUCCAGGUCUUCUUGGGUCUAGGUUUCAUCAUAGAUAUUCUACUGUUUGCAUAUUUACUUAGAAGGCCAUGAAUUGAGGUCCUAUUAAGCACUCGUGUAUUCAAAAUUUUUUUGAUCAAAAAAAUAAUGCACUAUUAAUGGUGUUAAUGAUUCAUUUGUGUCACAAAAUUUUAUAUCUAAUGUUGAAUAUUCCUUUUUGCAGCUGGAAAUAACUUUAUAAUGUUGGCUAUAAGUUGUCCUACUUGGCUUAGGUCUCUAGUUCCUGCAUGUGAGAUAUCAAUAUCACUUGAAAGCAAGGUCCGCAAUAACGGAACCAGCAUCUAUGUUGGUAGGCUGGUGGUACAGUAUGGUAUGGUAUCAUGCUAUACUAUUCCGAUGCGUACUAACAAAAGAAAACUAGAGAGGGAGGGAAGGAGGGAGGGGGCUUAGAAGCCCUCCUCUCCUCCUCCACUUGUCCACAGGGCCAACUAGGCAAAGCCCAUGUUUCCUUCUCCCAGCAUCUCUCACUUUCCUCCCCUCUCUCUCUCUCCCUCCCUCUCUCUCACCUCCCUUCCUCUCUCUCGCUUUUGGCCGAGCCCUUGUUUUGUUUGACAUAUGCGCUCUGCCUGAUAGGGCUAGUAGACGAGUGGAGGAAAGGAGGGCUUUCGAGCCCCUGCUCCCUCCUUCUCCAAGCAUCUCUCUCCCCCUCCCUGUCCCUUUCUCUCUCCCCCUCCCUCCCUCUCUCUCUCUCUUCCUCUCUUUUCUUCUUCCUCUCUCCUUUUCUUGCUGGUUUCUCGAAUCGAGAGAGGGAACUGCACCAGUCUGCCCCGAAUGAGCAGUUCAAGGUGGUAUGGUAGUCCUUGCUUGAAAGAACUUCUUAAAAUCUAGAUGUAGGAUUGAUGGUUUUUUUUGUUGUUAUAUGAGAAACUCAACUACUUUUUAUCUUAAAAUCUCUUUGGCUUACGUCUCCAAUUCUUGCAUGUGAGAUAUUAAAAUCACUUGAAAGAUCUUCUCAAAAUCUAGAUAUAAGAUUGAUAUUUUUUCUUCCUUGUUAUAUAAGAAACUCCACUACUUUCCAUCUUUAAAUCUCUUUCUUGGUCUCAAAAAUAGUUUUCAGCUUGUACCUUAGAUGAAUCCAUAACUAGCACAAAAGACUUACUAUAUCAACUCAUACCUUAGCUAGCAAGUGCAGUAAGGUAGACUCAACAUCAAGUCUAUUGCAUGUUAGGAUGCAAUGCUUAGGUGGCAAUCUGUUUGACAAUUAUUUGCAUGUCAAAUCACUAAAUUCAACAAGUACUAAAUGUGGCCCAUUAUCGGUGAUUACCUAUACGACAUCUGCUCUUCCACAUGAUCUAUCAUCUCCUCAAUCAGUUUUGAUGAAAUAUGAAAAUUUAAUAUGGUCUUCCUUUUUUUUAUCAAUUUAUGACCAAUUUUUGGCCUCAAAAUAACAUAAAAUUACAAAAAUGAAGAUGGGAGUCGUAUUACCAGAUUUUAGCAAAAAUCCGGGUUGCAAUCCAUGAAAUUGACAAGAUCUAGCUAUUUUUUUUAAUUAUUUUACAAAAUAAAGAUUUGGAAGGUGUUGAGAGCUCACGAGAUGGGGGCUCUCUUUUCCCCCAAUAAUUUAACCUCUCUUAUGGUCGGUAUACGCUCGAAUCGAUAAGAACCAUUUGGUUCGCACCAAAACUGCGCCGAACCAUCCGGUUCAAUGCUGUUCGGGAGAUAAGGAGGGGAACCAUCCUAGUUCUCCCUCAGUUUGGUAUGGUAUGCUCUGAACCAGAUGGUCUGGGUGCUGAGUUACGCCCUGUUCGAUGCGACGUUCGCAGCAUCCAAAAAAGAAGAGCAAAGCAAACGUAGCAUGCCCAAAAGUGAACCAACCCCUUGGACUG